AACGAACGCUGGCGGCAUGCCUAACACAUGCAAGUCGAACGAGACCAGCGGGUCGAGUGGCGCCCGGGGGCGUAAGGGGGGGGAACAUGCCCGUAGGUGCGGAAUAACUCGCCGAAAGGGGUGCUAAUACCGGAUAAUGUCUUCGAACAAAAGAUGUAUCGACCUUGGGUGGUCCCGAGUUGGAUUAGUUAGUUGGUGGGGUAAAAGACUACCAAGGCGACGAGUCAUAGGUGGUCUGAGAGGAUGAUCAGCCACACUGUGUGUGAGACACGGCCCAGACUCCUGCGGGAGGCAGCAGUCGGGAAUCUUACGCGAGGGGGGAGUGCCUGAUACUGCAAAGCCGCGUGAAGCAUGAACGACUUAGGCUGGUUGAGUGAUGUUGUCCGGAGGGAAGUAAAGCUUUCUUAUCCGGGAUGGUAAUGACGGUACCGGAAGAAUAAGCACCGGCUAACUACGUG
RNAcentral lists this ribosomal RNA (458 nucleotides) under uncultured bacterium. RNAcentral describes it as "partial 16S ribosomal RNA". It matches the Rfam family "Bacterial small subunit ribosomal RNA", at positions 29 to 507 of the family's 1533-position model. The record is from RNAcentral.